RNAcentral lists this ribosomal RNA (253 nucleotides) under uncultured bacterium. RNAcentral's name for it is "partial 16S ribosomal RNA". It matches the Rfam family "Bacterial small subunit ribosomal RNA", at positions 524 to 776 of the family's 1533-position model. The record is from RNAcentral.
UACAGAGGUCUCAAGCGUUGUUCGGAUUCAUUGGGCGUAAAGGGUGCGUAGGCGGCGCGGUAAGUCGGGUGUGAAAUCUUGGAGCUUAACUCCGAAACUGCAUUCGAUACUGCCGUGCUUGAGGACUGGAGAGGAGACUGGAAUUUACGGUGUAGCGGUGAAAUGCGUAGAUAUCGUAAGGAAGACCAGUGGCGAAGGCGGGUCUCUGGACAGUUCCUGACGCUGAGGCACGAAAGCGUGGGUAGCAAACAGG